UGUCUCAUUGGUGCAGGAAGAGGCUUCCACACUUCCUACUUGUCCUUCGUACGAAGGCUCACUGAAGAUAAACUGUGCCCACUCACCAACUUGCUUAGAACAGAGCCUUGUUUUCUCCUCGAUGUUGAACGUCUUCACAUCGUCACCCAGCUUGGAAAUGGAAAUCAGUUUGCAGGUGCUGAGAGGAGCAUCAGAGGACCCCAAUUGAGCAUCUGACCAUUCCCAGGCCAGUAAGGUCUGUGCCUUUUCUUUCCUUCCAAUCUCUGCACCCAGAUGUCUGGUUCUUGAUGCCAAGUUCCACUGGAUGGCUGUGGCAGCUGAAAGGGUCUUUCUCACUAAUGGGCAUAUGGCAGCUGUUGGCAUCUUCAGAAGAGCUAUGGAGAAGCACAGUAAACACCAGUGACACUUUAAAUCCUUAUCAAGUGUACACUUUAAAUCCUUAUCUGACUGAACUGAGAUACAGUGGUGGCUAAUGCAAAUAAGGGGAAUGGUGCUAGAGUGGGGGGAACCAAAGACUUAUUUAAAUGAUUCUCAAAUCUUCAUCCCAGGUUUACCAUUCAGAACAUCCCCUGCCUCUUGCCAAGGAUUGACAGCUCCUCCUCAUGGAACCAUGGAACACACCCUCCUGGAAUUGUUGAGAUGCACGUGAUGGCAUGGCAAGAUUUAGAUAAAGGUGCCAUGUCCAGGGAGUCUCAUGAUGGGAUGAUGAACUAUAUCCUUUUUCAAGAAGUAAAAGUGUAAAAAUAUUCAUAUAUCAAAAGAGAGCCAGAGAAUCAGGCUACUUGAGGAAACUUAACAGCUGUAAAUCAUCCCAGCAGAAGAUAAAUUCAUUCUAUCAUCUGGAGAGAAACCUAAUCUUCAGUCUAUGUCAUUCCAUGGAGAUAGGAGGGUAUGGCUCAUAGUCUUCCAUCUUUAAAAUCCAUUAAGUUGCAUUUAAAAUUAUAGAAUUCACAUAUAUUCUGUGUAGCUAGUAAAAUAACAUGAAGAAGGAGGAACAUUAAGCAUCUUUCUCAUCAUCUCUGCGCCUCUAAAGUAAGCAAUGAUAAUGAUCUAUUAUGUACCUUUUCACAUUUUUCCCAAGUGAAUACAAAUAUAGAUAUAUUAUUUUGAGUUUUUAAAAUUGGGAUCACACUGUAUACAGUUUUAUGCAACUUGUAUUUUUUUAACACAACAAUUUGCUAUGAAUAUCCCUAAGUCAUUCUUUUUAAUAGCUUUCAGCAAUCCAUGGUAUAGAUGUACAAAAAUUUAUUUAAUCUCCAUUGGGUGAAUAUUCAGGGAGUUUCUAAGUUUUCACCUUUGGAACUAAUGCUGCAAUAAAUAUUUUUUAAAAUACAGCAUGAUGAACUAGUACUGUUUUUCCUCCAUAGGACCUAUUCCUAGGGGUGGGAUUGCUGGGUCAAAGUUUAUGUGUACUUGAAUUUUUAGUAGCUAUGGCCAGCUUGCUUUCCAAAAAGGUGUAGCAAUUUCCAUUUCAAUAGCAAUGUGUGAGGAUGCUUGCUAGCUCCAAAUGCUAUAGGUUUUUAUUAAAAAAAUGUUUAAAAAUUUUUUGUCAAUCUAACAGGCAGGAAAAAUGGCAUCUCCUUAUUUUCCAUUUUCCUACCUACCAGUGAAAGAUGAGCAUUUUUCAUGUUUAUUGGCCAUUUGGAAUUCCUCCUGUGUGAAUUGCAUUCUAUUGUGUUCAGUUGGAUAUUAUUCAUUAUGUGUUACAGAUAUUUUUUUCCCAGCUAUCAUUUGAUUUUGACUUUGUUAGCCUUUGUCUUUUGUCAAAACCUAUUUUUAAAAUUAUGUACUAGGUUUAUCUUUUGUAAAUAUUUUAAAAUUACUCAAGUAAUAAUAUUUUUUAUGUAAAGUCAUUAAACAUAAUAAACUGAAAUAAGAGAAUAAAAAUCACCCAUUAGCAUACCACCCACAGAUAACUAUUUAUAUUUUGGGGGAUAUACCGCCUGUCUUCUUCACACAUUUCACUCCUCUCCACUGUUGAAUAAUAAUUUUAAAAACGACAAAAAAUAUCACCACUGAAGUAGAUAACUGUGAAUGAGUAUACUGAUCAGACGAGAAUGGAAAAUGUAAAUGUGAGAUCCUUUUCAUAGCUAUAUAAGACAUUUAUUUUUUUUAAAGUUAUUUUUAUUGAUUUCAGAAAGAA
Molecule: long non-coding RNA, 2143 nt
Organism: Myotis myotis
Lineage: Eukaryota; Metazoa; Chordata; Mammalia; Chiroptera; Vespertilionidae
Exons: 3
Source: RefSeq, a predicted model, not a curated record